UUAGUCCUAGUCUAGGUGCACA
This 22-nucleotide microRNA is filed under the name Monodelphis domestica (gray short-tailed opossum). RNAcentral's name for it is "mdo-miR-1543". Lineage: Eukaryota; Metazoa; Chordata; Mammalia; Didelphimorphia; Didelphidae. The record is from miRBase by way of RNAcentral.